This is a long non-coding RNA of Carassius auratus (goldfish), 2517 nucleotides long. RefSeq lists it as uncharacterized. The record is from RefSeq and is a predicted model, not a curated record. The transcript is spliced from 3 exons. NCBI's taxonomy places the organism in Eukaryota, Metazoa, Chordata, Actinopteri, Cypriniformes, Cyprinidae.
UUCUGUGUAAACUGAUGUUCAAAAAUAAACUUAAAAAUAAAUAUUGUCCGGAGUAAAAGUGUGACUGCUAACUCUGGUCUCUCCUAUAGGACAUUUUAUUACCUUGCAUAAUUUUUGCAAUAAAAAAAUAUAUUUUUGUUUUCACGAAAUUGUCAUAAAAUGAGUGAAAAUAUAAAUGCAGAGAAUACUGAAUGCAAGCAGUAAAAAAACUAAGAAAAUAUGCUAAAUGUUUCAUUUGCAGUGACAUUUGAACCAUAAGUGAACUAAUAAAAUACUCUAAUGUUACUAUUUCUGCAUGCAGCCAUGUCUCAGUCUUCUGAACAACAUGCAAUAAGAUACGGCCCGGAUCUAGUUUCUAAACUUAAACCCUAAUUUCAUUUUUCGAAUUUGAUUUAUAUCCAUGAACUCGUCCUCGUUUCUGAAGGCACGGAAAGAAAAAAAACCCUCCAAGAACAUGAAAGAUAAUCUUUCACUUACAAACUGUUUUGGUUCCCAUUGGGUGCUGAAACUGUGUGGAUAUCACAUUCUUCAAAAUAUCUUCUUGUGUUCUUCAAAUGAAAGAAAGUCAUCCAGGUGUGGAACAACAUGAAGAUAAGGAAAACACCCCUGCUGAUUUCUGAUGGUGUUGUCAUACUGGCUCUGAUUCACAGUGUAAUGCCGAAGCAACCUUGUCCAGGUGUUUCAGCUCUUCUGACCUCUAAGACAUGGUGAGAGCUCUGCUGAAGACGGAUUCAUUUUCCUCGCCACAUGCGCUGCCUCAGAGACACUGGGCUGACUGCUGCCCUAUCAGCGCUGCUUAAAAGAUUAAAAACAAACAGCAUGACAGAAAUAUAUCAUGUGCUGUUGAACCAGUCCGACUGAGAAUAUAUGGAUGGACAUGAAACAGGCGGUCCACUCGAUUCAAUAGAGUUUCAAGAUUGGGGAAGGAAUUGCUGCAGCUAUAUGGAAAAGUUGAAGAGAUAUUUUACACAGACUCAAGGCUGUAAGUGACUUGAAGUGUGAGAAUUUGUUUGGAUUUAGAACCGAUUCUGUAGUGCUGUAAGACAAGUUUUUUUCUUCUUCAAAACAAAAAAUAUCGUUAUUAAAAAAUGAUAGCAAAUAUUACAGAGAUACUGGUUGCUUCACAUUCAACAACCAUUUUUAAUUUAUGUUGUCAUUAACACACACACACACAGCAUAAAUGGACACUAUACUAUACUGAGGAUUAUUCUUCCUCCAUAAAAAUUGUAUUCAUAUUAAAAUCUGUUUCAUGAGUAAAGACAAAGAACAAACAGAUUUUCUGUAAAACCACCACAGAUGCUCGACCCUCAAAAACAAGUUUGCAUUCCAUGUAAGUAUUAAAUUCAUUGCUUUAAAACAAAUUAAAGAUACCAUAAUAAGACAAAAAGAGCUUUAAAAAAAAUGGUUUUCAGUUUUAAAUAUCUUAUCAACCUUAUAUUUCAACGUGGAACCCAUUUUCUCACUUCUGGUUUAUUAGCCACUGUGGGGAAAACGCGAAAAAUAAUAACAAUUGGUUUGCACAACAAACCAAUGUGUUCAUAAUAAAGAUAAUACAUUAAAAUAACAUGGUAAGAUACAACAGCUGUACAGUGAAAAAUAGCUGCAAGUGGAAGAGACCGGAAGUUUGGCAUGUAAAAUGUACAAAUGGCUCUUACAGGAAAAAUAAUGUGGAUAGAAACCUUUGGUGAGUGGUUUUAUAAAAGUACAGCUAUACUCAGUUAUUUGAUUUUGAUUAAACUAUUUACUUGCAUAAAUCUUAAGUACUGGUACAAUUUCAUAUAAAAAUAAAACUUAACUCAUGAAAUAGAAUAUAAUAACAGCUUCAAAUCUAGUAUCUUAAAGAAAAAACACUUUACAAAAUAAAAGGCUUGCUUUUUUUCGAAACCCAUUUCAAAAGGCUUCGAACUGAAUUGUACAUAUUAAACAAAAUAAUUCAAUAAAGACACCCAAACACAAAUUAAAGAUAACAUCAAAUGUUCAUAUUCUUUUAUUCUUUUUUCUCCAUCAUCAUAAUUCAUAAUUCAUACGUCAUACUUCAUUUAAAAUGGUACAAAAUUUAACAAGAAUCAAUGCACAGCUACACUAAGGGCUGAAAAACUGAAUGAAUAAUAGACAGCAUCUGCAGUAACUACAAUCAUCUAUUUACAGUGCUUCACUCUGAGAUCAGCUCUCUGUUUGGGACAUUCCUUCGGCCAUGCUUGUAAAUCUGCUUCAAAUGAAACACAAACUGGCACACUGCAAGAUUUUAGUCUACCUCAGAUCGAGCUUCAAGAACCAUAUUGUAUCGUAUUGAAAGGAACAGAGGAAAAUACUAUUAUUAAAAGGCUAAUAGAAAGCUCAACAGGCCAACCUGAUUUUAGAGCUGCACAAAGCAAUCUUUGUGAAAGCACAUCCCUCACACACACACACACACACACGAGGAAAAGUUGCUUCCUGUCAAACCUAAGAAACUGUAGUGAUAGUUGUUUGGCACCUGAGAUAAAGCUGUAAAAAGUGCUUGUGGUGAGAAAAAAAAAA